This 460-nucleotide ribosomal RNA is filed under the name uncultured bacterium. RNAcentral describes it as "partial 16S ribosomal RNA". It matches the Rfam family "Bacterial small subunit ribosomal RNA", at positions 338 to 795 of the family's 1533-position model. The record is from RNAcentral.
CCUACGGGUGGCAGCAGUGAGGAAUAUUGGUCAAUGGACGCAAGUCUGAACCAGCCAUGCCGCGUGCAGGAAGACGGCUCUAUGAGUUGUAAACUGCUUUUGUACGAGGGUAAACGCAGAUACGCGUAUCUGUCUGAAAGUAUCGUACGAAUAAGGAUCGGCUAACUCCGUGCCAGCAGCCGCGGUAAUACGGAGGAUUCAAGCGUUAUCCGGAUUUAUUGGGUUUAAAGGGUGCGUAGGUGGUCGGAUAAGUUAGUGGUGAAAUUCUGAGGCUCAACCUUGGAAUUGCAAUUGAUACUGGUCGGCUAGAGAGUAGUUGAGGUAGGCGGAAUGUAUGGUGUAGCGGUGAAAUGCUUAGAGAUCAUACAGAACACCGAUUGCGAAGGCAGCUUACCAAGCUACGUCUGACGUUGAGGCACGAAAGCGUGGGGAGCAAACAGGAUUAGAUACCCCAGUAGUC